CCUACGGGUGGCAGCAGUGAGGAAUAUUGGUCAAUGGCCGAGAGGCUGAACCAGCCAAGUCGCGUGAGGGAAGACGGCCCUACGGGUUGUAAACCUCUUUUGUCGGGGAGCAAAGCGAGUCACGUGUGACUCCUUGAGAGUACCCGACGAACAAGCAUCGGCUAACUCCGUGCCAGCAGCCGCGGUAAUACGGAGGAUGCGAGCGUUAUCCGGAUUUAUUGGGUUUAAAGGGUGCGCAGGCGGAGGUGCAAGUCAGCGGUAAAAUUGCGGGGCUCAACCCCGUACUGCCGUUGAAACUGGAUGCCUUGAGUGCGGGAGAAGUAGGCGGAAUGCGUGGUGUAGCGGUGAAAUGCAUAGAUAUCACGCAGAACUCCGAUUGCGAAGGCAGCAUACCGGAGCGCAACUGACGCUCAUGCACGAAAGCGUGGGUAUCGAACAGGAUUAGAUACCCCGGUAGUC
This 459-nucleotide ribosomal RNA is filed under the name uncultured bacterium. Its description in RNAcentral is "partial 16S ribosomal RNA". It matches the Rfam family "Bacterial small subunit ribosomal RNA", at positions 338 to 795 of the family's 1533-position model. The record is from RNAcentral.